AGGAGCGCAACUUUAAACUCGUCUCUCUCCUUCUGUCUGUCUGGGAAUUCAGCGCGUGUACUACAGCGACAGGUUCAACUAUCGAGUCCAAGACUGUAACACUGGAAACGCGUCCAAUUUUUUCCAACAAGGACUUUGAAUCCACGAGAGAAGAAGAAGCAGCAGCAGCAGCAGCGGAUGAAACAGAUUUCACUCCAGAGACACUGACGGGAAAAAUUUAAAGACUCUCUGCAUCAACAGGACAGCCCAGAAAGCAUGGUUUAAAUGUGCACAGCAUUAUGGGUCCCACCAUACAUCCCUACCCGGAGUGUUGCCAAACGAUGGUGUCAAGAGGUCAGGAUUCCCUUCUGUCGUCUGGGAACUCCUAUUUAGUUCCACACUGAGCUGGCACUCGUCUUCCUCAGUGAGUUGGACAUGAACAUAAGCAUGAUUUCUAACGGAUCGUGCAAUGACACUCUCACCGUGAAUGAAAGCGGCAAGCCAUUCAUAAGCACCGUCAUGUUUCUGGCUGGUGUGGUGGGGAACCUCCUGGCCCUCUUCAUCCUCGGGGUGCACCAGAAGGAGCAUCGCUCCAGGUCCUCGCUGUUCUGCAUCCUGGUGACUGGCCUGGCCGUCACCGACCUGCUGGGCACGUGCCUCCUCAGCCCGCCAGUGUUCAUCUGCUACGCCCUCAACGUGUCACUGCUAAGUCUGGGUGGCAAAAGCCUGUGCAACUUCUUGGGCUUUGCUAUGAGUUUCUUCGGCCUGGCGCCCACACUCAUUCUGUGUGCAAUGGCUGUGGAGCGCUGCCUGGCAAUUAGCCACCCUUAUUUCUAUGCUGUACACAUCCGUCGCAGCUUUGCCAAAAUCACGCUUGUCUUUAUUUAUCUAUUUUCUUUGGCCUUCUGCCUCCUGCCAUACACCGGAUAUGGCAAGUUCAGACAGUAUUGCCCCGGGACGUGGUGCUUCAUCGACAUGGACGCGACAGGGGACGAGCAGGCCAACUUGAUGCUGGCCUUCUCUCUGUCCUACUCCUCGCUCAUGGCGCUGCUCAUCUUUGCAGUGUUUGUGUGCAACGGCUCAGUGAUUGUCAGCCUGUGCCAGAUGCACCGGAGCCAGAUGAUGCGACGCGGCUCGGUCGUGUCGACUGGGAGAAAGAAGAAGUUGAGCCUGACCUGGUUCGGACGGGGAGAAGAGGAGAUGGACCACCUGGUGCUGCUGGCGCUCAUCACUGUCAUCUUUGUUGUCUGCUCCCUCCCGCUCACGAUUGCUGGUUUUAUCAAUGCCAUUCACCCAUUUUCUGGCGACGCAACGAACCUCACAGCCUUCCGCUUCUACGCUCUCAACCCCAUCGUGGAUCCGUGGGUCUUCAUCAUCUGCCGCAAGUCCGUGAUCCGUCACCUUUGCUCUCUGCUGAGCUGCUCCUUUGGCAAAGAAGCCGUGAAGACAACGGCACACUGCGCUCUGUCUUUGCCCCUUGACAAUCACAUACAGCAUAAUUCCCCCGACGUGACAGUUUCCCAGUCCCCAUACUCCAGUUUACCUCUGUGAGAGAAAUCCUUGCCUGAGGAGACUGAGGAGUCUUUCAUUUCUGAAGUACAAGGCGAGAUUAAAAUAUAAACAUGCCAACAAAGAAGUAGCAGUCAUUCUCGAUGAACUCGCGGGAAACAAUUGCACUAGGUCUUAAAUUGUCCGCGGAUGGUCAAAGUGCUACUGUAACGUAGCACUAAUGGACACAUCAAACCAUAUCAUCACUAUAAAUCAUAUACUGUAAAAUCAGAAUGUAUGCACUCGGGUAAAGCUAUUAUGGGUGAACAAUAUGCAUGCGUGUUCUGUCUUCUUUUUCUGCCUCAUCCAAUCAAUUCUUUUCUUUAGGAUGCAGCCAGCUGGCUUUUAGCUGACCUGUGCACAGUUACAGCAUCUUUGACACUGGCGACACUUGACAUGAAGAGGGACCUGGAAGGACAAGGCUCGAUGGCGUGUUCAUCAUGAUCGGAAUUAUAACGUCUUGUUAAAAGGUGGCUUGCAGCCGCAGUGGCUUUAACAGCUGCAAAAUGUGUUCCACCAAUCAGUGUUCUUCAGCACACAGCCCCGCCCCUAAGAGUUCCUGGUAAUCUGAAAAGUAGGUACUUUUUUUCUGUGAAAGUUUGGGGUCACGGGAAAGUUUUUCUCUAAUUUCGGUGGAAACACGUCAAGGUUUUUCAAAAUCCCAGCUAAAUGAGAUAAGUCCCUGUGGUGGAAAAAGGGUUUGAGACCUGAAUGAUGAGGAACCUUCACAGACAAACAUGAAAACAGUGAAUUGUUUUAAUUCAGGCUAAUGUUUGUAUUUGCAACUUUCAAAAUGUAGCUCUUAUCCUGUGUCCCAAUCCUAUAUGUGAGACUAUUCUAAAGCCUCUUAAGGUUUUUAACUCAGUUUAUCUACUCGUCCUGUUUGGUCUAUAGUGUCAUUGUAGUGCAUGAAUAUUAUUCCUCCUCACUUAUUUCUAAGCUACCUAUGAUGAAAGUCCUUUUAAUAGCCUUUUGCUUUUGAAGAAAAAAGAAAAACUGCUGCUGCUAAACGCACUGUGAGAAUGAUUUUGUUGUUGUGACUAAUGCUGUAACUAUAAUUUAAAUGUGCAUUAUUUAUGUCUUUCCACUGUGCUGUGAUGUUGUGCAUCCUCAUGAUUUUGUGGUUCAUACAGUGAAAUAAUAGAGGUAAUAACGUGGUGAUUUGAGUUUCGAAUUUCUUGCCGUGUUGCACAUUCAUUUCUUGCUUAUUGCCUGUGAUGCUCAGUCUUGUCUGACCUGGCGUGAAUCACUGGCACUUUGUGUUCACUUUGAGCAAAGGUUUUGAGUUUUAUAUCCAUGAAUUAAUUAUAUAUAUAUAUAUAUGUAUUUUGAAAGUAUACAGCACACCUUUUGUUAAUGUAAAAUAAAACUUAUAUAAAAAUAUAAGCAAAAAAAUGGUUGCAACUUGUUCCAACAUAUCUUUGUUUUUCUGAUUUGUAGUGUAGCCAUUUGUGAAUAGUGAAAUGUACAUUUAUGAAAAUUUGAUAAAGUGUUUCAAUUUAUUAAUUGUCAGAUAACAGUUAACGUUGUCAGAAUAAAAGAAUUGAUAAUGUU
Molecule: RNA transcript, 3081 nt
Organism: Solea senegalensis (Senegalese sole)
Lineage: Eukaryota; Metazoa; Chordata; Actinopteri; Pleuronectiformes; Soleidae
Gene: ptgir
Gene name: prostaglandin I2 receptor
Exons: 4
Source: RefSeq, a predicted model, not a curated record